AACAGAUUUUCACCCUCCUCCCUGUAACAAUCCUUUAUGUACCUGAAACUGUUUUCAUGUCCCCUUCUCAGUCUUCUCUUCUCCAGACUAAACAAACUCAAUUUUUUCAAUCUUCCCUCCUAGG
Molecule: long non-coding RNA, 124 nt
Organism: Gopherus evgoodei (Goodes thornscrub tortoise)
Lineage: Eukaryota; Metazoa; Chordata; Testudines; Testudinidae
Exons: 3
Source: RefSeq, a predicted model, not a curated record